GAUGAACGCUGGCGGCGUGCCUCAAACAUGCAAGUCGAGCGGGGCUAUGUAAUAUCGCAAGGUAGAACAUAGCCUAGCGGCGAACGGGUGAGUAACACGUGGGUAACCUGCCUGGAAGACAGGGAUAACGAUUCGAAAGGGUCGCUAAUACCUGAUAAUAUCCUUUCAUCGCAUGGUGAUAGGAAGAAAGGGGAAACCCGCUUUCAGAUGGGCCCGCGUCCCAUCAGCUAGUUGGUAAGGUAAAGGCUUACCAAGGCGACGACGGGUAGCCGGUCUGAGAGGAUGUACGGCCACACUGGGACUGAGAUACGGCCCAGACUCCUACGGGAGGCAGCAGUUGGGAAUCUUAGGCAAUGGACGAAAGUCUGACCUAGCGACGCCGCGUGAGGGAAGAAGGCCUUCGGGUUGUAAACUCUGUCAUGGGGAAGAAGGAAGUGACGGUACCCAACGAGGAAGCCCUGCUAACUACGUG
RNAcentral lists this ribosomal RNA (472 nucleotides) under uncultured bacterium. RNAcentral describes it as "bacterial SSU rRNA". It matches the Rfam family "Bacterial small subunit ribosomal RNA", at positions 28 to 507 of the family's 1533-position model. The record is from RNAcentral.